This 111-nucleotide ribosomal RNA is filed under the name Candidatus Levyibacteriota bacterium. The record is from RNAcentral. Lineage: Bacteria; Candidatus Levyibacteriota.
UCUGGUGAUUGAAGCAUUAUGGCACCACCUCUUCCCAUUCCGAACAGAGAAGUGAAACGUAAUAGCGCUCACGAUACUACACACAUGUGGGAAAAUAGGUCGUCGCCAGAA